UACAGAGGCCCCGAGCGUUACCCGGAAUCACUGGGCGUAAAGCGUGUGUAGGUGGUCAUAUUAGUCGUUCGUUAAAACCCCGGGCCUAACCCGGGAGAUGCGGGCGAAACGGUAUGACUCGAGGGUGUGAGAGGUGCAUAGAACUCUAGGUGUAGGGGUGAAAUGCGUUGAGAUCUAGGGGAAUACCGAAAGCGAAGGCAGUGCACUGGCGCAUUCCUGACACUCAAGCACGAAAGCGUGGGUAGCGAACGGG
RNAcentral lists this ribosomal RNA (253 nucleotides) under uncultured bacterium. RNAcentral's name for it is "partial 16S ribosomal RNA". It matches the Rfam family "Bacterial small subunit ribosomal RNA", at positions 524 to 776 of the family's 1533-position model. The record is from RNAcentral.